This 255-nucleotide ribosomal RNA is filed under the name Clostridioides difficile. RNAcentral's name for it is "partial 16S ribosomal RNA". It matches the Rfam family "Bacterial small subunit ribosomal RNA", at positions 651 to 906 of the family's 1533-position model. The record is from RNAcentral. Lineage: Bacteria; Bacillati; Bacillota; Clostridia; Peptostreptococcales; Peptostreptococcaceae.
GGAGAGGAGAGUGGAAUUCCUAGUGUAGCGGUGAAAUGCGUAGAUAUUAGGAGGAACACCAGUUGCGAAGGCGGCUCGCUGGACUGUAACUGACGCUGAGGCACGAAAGCGUGGGGAGCAAACAGGAGUAGAUACCCUGGUAGUCCACGCUGUAAACGAUGAGUACUAGGUGUCGGGGGUUACCCCCCUCGGUGCCGCAGCUAACGCAUUAAGUACUCCGCCUGGGAAGUACGCUCGCACGAGUGAAACUCAAAG